UGAACAUCAGGAUACCUUGGUAAUAGGCUUGGGAGUCUGAGGCUGCCACCUAAGGAAAGUGUACGGGUCUACAAACGUACCUGUAAUCAUGAGAAGGUGGAUCAGAAGAGAAAGGUAAAUACCUGGAUUGAAAUGUUAUUGCCAUAAACAAUAUGUUGGAAGACCUGUGUAG
This 172-nucleotide long non-coding RNA is filed under the name Fukomys damarensis (Damara mole-rat). Its description in RNAcentral is "lncRNA (ENSFDAG00000025051.1)". The record is from RNAcentral. Lineage: Eukaryota; Metazoa; Chordata; Mammalia; Rodentia; Bathyergidae.